GAGGAAUAAGCAUCGGCUAACUCCGUGCCAGCAGCCGCGGUAAUACGGGGGAUGCAAGCGUUAUCCGGAAUCAUUGGGCGUAAAGCGCCUGUAGGUUGUUUAAUAAGUCUGUUGUUAAAGACUGGGGCUUAACCCCAGGAAAGCAAUGGAAACUACUAGACUAGAGUAUGGUAGGGGUAAAGGGAAUUUCUAGUGUAGCGGUGAAAUGCGUAGAUAUUAGAAAGAACACCGGUGGCGAAAGCGCUUUACUGGACCAUUACUGACACUCAGAGGCGAAAGCUAGGGUAGCCAAAGGGAUUAGAUACCCCUGUAGUCCUAGCCGUAAACGAUGGAUACUAGAUGUUGCGCUUAUUGUGCAGUGUCGUAGCUAACGCGUUAAGUAUCCCGCCUGGGGAGUACGAUCGCAAGGUUGAAACUCAAAGGAAUUGACGGGGGCCCGCACAAGCGGUGGAGCAUGUGGUUUAAUUCGAUGCAACGCGAAGAACCUUACCAGGGCUUGACAUACUGCAAAUUUCUUUGAAAGAGAAAAGUGCCUUCGGGAAUGCAGAUACAGGUGGUGCAUGGCUGUCGUCAGCUCGUGUCGUGAGAUGUUGGGUUAAGUCCCGCAACGAGCGCAACCCUCGUUUUUAGUUGCCAUUUUAUGGGUUCUCUAGAAAGACUGCCGGUGACAAACCGGAGGAAGGUGGGGAUGACGUCAAGUCAGCAUGCCCCUUAUGCCCUGGGCUACACACGUGCUACAAUGGCUAAGACAAAGAGUCGCGAAUUCGCGAGAAUCAGCUAAUCUCAUAAACUUAGUCUAAGUUCAGAUUGUAGGCUGCAACUCGCCUGCAUGAAG
Molecule: ribosomal RNA, 835 nt
Filed under: Haptophyta environmental samples
Lineage: Eukaryota; Haptophyta
Description: bacterial SSU rRNA
Rfam family: Bacterial small subunit ribosomal RNA
Source: RNAcentral